This 497-nucleotide ribosomal RNA is filed under the name uncultured bacterium. Its description in RNAcentral is "partial 16S ribosomal RNA". It matches the Rfam family "Bacterial small subunit ribosomal RNA", at positions 39 to 507 of the family's 1533-position model. The record is from RNAcentral.
GGGGGGGGGUGGGGGGGGGGGGGGGGGGGGGGGGGCGGGGGGGGGGGGGGGGGGGUUGGGCCUCGGGCGGUAGCGGGGGACGGGUGGGGACGGCGUGGAUGACCUGGCUAGAAGACGGGGGUGACUUCGGGGACCCGGGGCUCAUACCGGAUAGUAUAUUGAACCGGAUGGUUGAGUCGUGAAAGACGGGUUUGCUCGCAGUUAUACAUGGAUCCGCGCCGCAUUAGCUAGUUGGUAAGGUAACGGCUUACCAAGGCGACGAUGCGUAGCCGACCUGAGAGGGGGAUCGGCCACACUGGAACUGAGACACGGUCCAGACUCCUACGGGAGGCAGCAGUAGGGAAUCUUCCGCAAUGGGCGAAAGCCUGACGGAGCAACGCCGCGUGAGUGAUGAAGGUCUUCGGAUCGUAAAACUCUGUUAUUAGGGAAGAACAAAUGUGUAAGUAACUAUGCACGUCUUGACGGUACCUAAUCAGAAAGCCACGGCUAACUACGUG